UUGCCAGGACCAGCAACAGGCUGUGAUUUGCUCAAAGUCCCAGCAAGUCGUCCCCAGCACUGCUGCUCCAUACCUGCACCACCUGCACUCCACAGACAACCGUUGUGCAGAACCCUCCCCUUGCCUAUCAAUCCCACCUCCAGACCUACUCAGCUCUAUCUCAUAAAAGUCUCACUUUGCUCUUGGCAGCUACAGUAGGGCUGCACACAGUGAAUGCCAACCCACCAACUCCAGAGUAUAUCACUCUGUGAUCUCAGG
This 258-nucleotide long non-coding RNA is filed under the name Homo sapiens (human). RNAcentral's name for it is "non-protein coding lnc-SOBP-2:1". Lineage: Eukaryota; Metazoa; Chordata; Mammalia; Primates; Hominidae. The record is from RNAcentral.